Molecule: ribosomal RNA, 428 nt
Filed under: uncultured bacterium
Lineage: Bacteria
Description: partial 16S ribosomal RNA
Rfam family: Bacterial small subunit ribosomal RNA
Source: RNAcentral
GUGGGGAAUAUUGGGCAAUGGGGGAAACCCUGACCCAGCAACGCCGCGUGAAGGAAGAAGGCUUUCGGGUUGUAAACUUCUUUUACCAGGGAAAAACACAAUGAUGGUACCUGGAGAAAAAGCUACGGCUAACUACGUGCCAGCAGCCGCGGUAAUACGUAGGUGGCAAGCGUUGUCUGGAAUUACUGGGUGUAAAGGGCGUGUAGGCGGAACUACAAGUCAGGGGUGAAAACUAUGGGCUUAACCCAUAGCCUGCCUUUGAAACUGUAGUCCUUGAGUGCGGGAGAGGCAAUUGGAAUUCCUAGUGUAGCGGUGAAAUGCGUAGAUAUUAGGAGGAACACCAGUGGCGAAGGCGAAUUGCUGGACAGUAACUGACGCUGAGGCGCGAAAGCCAGGGGAGCAAACAGGAUUAGAAACCCCUGUAGUCC